GACGAACGCUGGCGGCGUGCUUAACACAUGCAAGUCGUACGGUAAGGCCCUUUCGGGGGUACACGAGUGGCGAACGGGUGCGUAACACGUGAGUAACCUGCCCACAACUUUGGGAUAACGCUAGGAAACUGGUGCUAAUACUGGAUAUGUGCUCCUGCUGCAUGGGGGGGGUUGGAAAGCUCCGGCGGUUGUGGAUGGACUCGCGGCCUAUCAGCUUGUUGGUGGGGUAGUGGCCUACCAAGGCGGCGACGGGUAGCCGGCCUGAGAGGGUGACCGGCCACAUUGGGACUGAGAUACGGCCCAGACUCCUACGGGAGGCAGCAGUGGGGAAUAUUGCACAAUGGGCGCAAGCCUGAUGCAGCAACGCCGCGUGCGGGAUGACGGCCUUCGGGUUGUAAACCGCUUUCAGCAGGGACGAAGCUUUUUGUGACGGUACCUGCAGAAGAAGCACCGGCUAACUACGUG
This 465-nucleotide ribosomal RNA is filed under the name uncultured bacterium. RNAcentral's name for it is "partial 16S ribosomal RNA". It matches the Rfam family "Bacterial small subunit ribosomal RNA", at positions 28 to 507 of the family's 1533-position model. The record is from RNAcentral.